CCCUUAGAUGUCCUGGGCCGCACGCGCGCUACACUGAGUGUCUGAGAUACGAGUCUGCCUGGUCCGGCAAGGUCUAGGUAAUCGCUAAAAGACACAUCAUGCUUGGGAUAGAUUAUUGCAAAUAUUAAUCUUGAACGAGGAAUUCCUAGUAAGCGCAAGUCAACAGCUUGCGUUGAUUACGUCCCUGCCCUUUGUACACACAGCCCGUCGCUACUACUGAUUGGAUGUUUAAGCGAGGUUCUCGAACUGCUAGCGACUUAGCUUCGGUGAGGUCGCAGUGUGGGAAGUGAACCUAGCUUUGGUGUCUAGAGGAAGUAAAAGUCGUAACA
This 329-nucleotide ribosomal RNA is filed under the name uncultured eukaryote. RNAcentral describes it as "partial 18S ribosomal RNA". It matches the Rfam family "Eukaryotic small subunit ribosomal RNA", at positions 1470 to 1796 of the family's 1831-position model. The record is from RNAcentral.